GAGAAGAACGCAGCGAAAUGCGAUAAGUAAUGUGAAUUGCAGAAUUCAGUGAAUCAUCGAAUCUUUGAACGCACAUUGCGCCCGCUAGUAUUCUGACGGGCAUGCCUGUCCGAGCGUCAUUUCAACCCUCAAGCCCCCGGGCUUGGUGUUGGGGAUCGGCGAGCCUCCGCGCCCGCCGUCCCCUAAAUCUAGUGGCGGUCUCGCUGUAGCUUCCUCUGCGUAGUAGCACACCUCGCACUGGGAAACAGCGCGGCCACGCCGUUAAACCCCCAACUUCUGAACGUUUGACCUCGGAUCAGGUAGGAAUACCCGCUGAACUUAAGCAUAUCAAUAAGCGGAGGA
Molecule: unclassified non-coding RNA, 342 nt
Filed under: soil metagenome
Description: partial contains 5.8S ribosomal RNA, internal transcribed spacer 2, and large subunit ribosomal RNA
Rfam family: 5.8S ribosomal RNA (bases 3-119)
Source: RNAcentral